GUCUACGAUCAUGCUACUCUGAACAAGCCCCAUCUCGUCUGAUCUUAGAAGCUAAGCAGGGUCGGGCCUCGUUAGUACUUGAAUGGGAGACCACAUAGGAAGACCAGGUGCUGUAAGCA
Molecule: ribosomal RNA, 119 nt
Filed under: Pteropus alecto (black flying fox)
Lineage: Eukaryota; Metazoa; Chordata; Mammalia; Chiroptera; Pteropodidae
Source: RNAcentral